RNAcentral lists this small nuclear RNA (103 nucleotides) under Salvator merianae (Argentine black and white tegu). Lineage: Eukaryota; Metazoa; Chordata; Lepidosauria; Squamata; Teiidae. The record is from RNAcentral.
GGGCUCUCUUUGGUGUCACAUAUACUAAAAUUGGAACGAUACAGAGAAGAUUAGUAUGGCCCCUGCGCAAGGAANAAAAAUGACUGAGUAAUACAAAGCUAUU